AACGAACGCUGGCGGCAUGCCUAACACAUGCAAGUCGAACGAGACCUUCGGGUCUAGUGGCGCACGGGUGCGUAACGCGUGGGAACCUGCCCUUAGGUUCGGAAUAACUCCCCGACAGGGGUGCUAAUACCGGAUAAUGUCUUCGGACCAAAGAUUUAUCGCCUUUGGAUGGGCCCGCGUUGGAUUAGCUAGUUGGUAGGGUAAAAGCCUACCAAGGCGACGAUCCAUAGCUGGUCUGAGAGGAGGAUCAGCCACACUGGGACUGAGACACGGCCCAGACUCCUACGGGAGGCAGCAGUGGGGAAUAUUGGACAAUGGGCGAAAGCCUGAUCCAGCAAUGCCGCGUGAGUGAUGAAGGCCUUAGGGUUGUAAAGCUCUUUUACCCGGGAUGAUAAUGACAGUACCGGGAGAAUAAGCUCCGGCUAACUCCGUG
Molecule: ribosomal RNA, 433 nt
Filed under: uncultured bacterium
Lineage: Bacteria
Description: partial 16S ribosomal RNA
Rfam family: Bacterial small subunit ribosomal RNA
Source: RNAcentral